This 483-nucleotide ribosomal RNA is filed under the name uncultured bacterium. RNAcentral describes it as "partial 16S ribosomal RNA". It matches the Rfam family "Bacterial small subunit ribosomal RNA", at positions 30 to 507 of the family's 1533-position model. The record is from RNAcentral.
AGUGAACGCUGGCGGCAGGCCUAACACAUGCAAGUCGAGCGGCAGCGCGGGGGCAACCCUGGCGGCGAGCGGCGGACGGGUGAGGAAUUCGUCGGAAUCUGCCUUUUUGUGGGGGAUAACGUAGGGAAACUUACGCUAAUACCGCAUACGUCCUACGGGAGAAAGUGGGGGACCGCAAGGCCUCACGCAGAAAGAUGAGCCGACGACCGAUUAGCUAGUUGGUGGGGUAAAGGCCCACCAAGGCGACGAUCGGUAGCUGGUCUGAGAGGAUGAUCAGCCACACUGGGACUGAGACACGGCCCAGACUCCUACGGGAGGCAGCAGUGGGGAAUAUUGGACAAUGGGCGCAAGCCUGAUCCAGCCAUGCCGCGUGGGUGAAGAAGGCCUUCGGGUUGUAAGCACUUUUGUCCGGAAAGAAAUCCCUGGAGCUAAUACCUUCGGGGGAUGACGGUACCGGAAGAAUAAGCACCGGCUAACUUCGUG